This 253-nucleotide ribosomal RNA is filed under the name uncultured bacterium. RNAcentral's name for it is "partial 16S ribosomal RNA". It matches the Rfam family "Bacterial small subunit ribosomal RNA", at positions 524 to 776 of the family's 1533-position model. The record is from RNAcentral.
UACGUAGGGGGCUAGCGUUAGGCGGAAUCACUGGGCUUAAAGCGUGUGUAGGCGGAUCGGUAAGUACCUUGUGAAAUCCCACAGCUUAACUGUGGAACUGCUUGGUAUACUGCCGGUCUUGAGCCAGCUAGGGGCUACCGGAACAAAUGGUGGAGCGGUGAAAUGCGUAGAUAUCAUUUGGAACGCCAAUGGUGAAAACAGGUAGCUGGGGCUGUGCUGACGCUGAGACACGAAAGCCAGGGGAGCAAACGGG